Molecule: ribosomal RNA, 460 nt
Filed under: uncultured bacterium
Lineage: Bacteria
Description: partial 16S ribosomal RNA
Rfam family: Bacterial small subunit ribosomal RNA
Source: RNAcentral
CCUACGUGGAGCAGCAGUGAGGAAUAUUGGUCAAUGGACGCAAGUCUGAACCAGCCAUGCCGCGUGCAGGAAGACGGCUCUAUGAGUUGUAAACUGCUUUUGUACGAGGGUAAACGCAGAUACGCGUAUCUGUCUGAAAGUAUCGUACGAAUAAGGAUCGGCUAACUCCGUGCCAGCAGCCGCGGUAAUACGGAGGAUUCAAGCGUUAUCCGGAUUUAUGGGGUUUAAAGGGUGCGUAGGCGGGAGGAUAAGUUAGAGGUGAACUCCCGAGGCUCAACUUCGGAAUUGCCUCUGAUACUGUUCGGCUAGAGCGUAGUUGCGGUAGGCGGAAUGUAUGGUGUAGCGGUGAAAUGCUUAGAGAUCAUACAGAACACCGAUUGCGAAGGCAGCUUACCAAGCUACUUCUGACGUUGAGGCACGAAAGCGUGGGGAGCAAACAGGAUUAGAUACCCCGGUAGUC